RNAcentral lists this unclassified non-coding RNA (2022 nucleotides) under Hevea brasiliensis (rubber tree). Lineage: Eukaryota; Viridiplantae; Streptophyta; Magnoliopsida; Malpighiales; Euphorbiaceae. The record is from RNAcentral.
AAUUUGUUUCUAUUCCUACAUGAAGCAUACAAAUGUCCAACUUAGAUAAGACAAUCAAAUCAUGCAUUUUCAUCUCAAUCAAAAGCAUCAACGAAAUUGAUCAUAAGAACCAAAUUGAAACUUCCUUUUCAAUCUGAUUCAUGUGCACAGAGAUUGAACACAUGCCAAAAAGAAAAUUGGAGAGCUUCACUGUGGCAUCUAUACCAAGAAAUAACUCAAGCUUUAACACUUAUUUCUUUCUCCAACCCCUCCCCCUCCAGCUCCUUAACUGCUCUUAUAAGGCCUCUUGUGAUCCCAUUUAGAUGAAGACCAUCCUCCUUCAUUUUCUCCAACAGCUUCUCUGCUGUUUCCCAAUCUAAGGCCUUUAAGCAUAGAGAUUGGAUCAACUUAUUGUACUCGUCUACAUUAGGUUGGACCCCAAAUUCCUUCAUCUCUGCUAAUAACUCCAAAGCUUUGUCAAAUUGUUCAAGUUUGCAAUAACCUCUAAUAAGUGUAUGGUAAGUCACAGGACUCAACUUAGAGUACUUCUUUUUGGCUUCAGAGAGUAUUUUGCAAGCCUCCUCCAUCUGACCACCACUUACAUAACCACUCAUAAUAACCGUAUAAGUGAAAAGAUCUGGUUUCAGUCCCCUCCUUUCCAUCAAAUUUUUCAUCUCUAUUGCCUCUUCCAUAUCUCCACACUUGGAAUAACCAUUGAUAAUGGAAUUGAAAACAGCAUUUCCAGGAGGUGGCCCCUCAUCAAUCAUCUUAGUUAGUAACAUUUUUACCCCGUAAAAAUCUUUGAUCCUACACAAACCACGAAUAACAGAUGAAAAGGGCUUGAUUGCAUACUUCCGUGUUUCUCCAGAGAAUGAAUCCAACAUAUCCAAAGACAAAUUGACUGUUUCAUCUUUCUGUGAGAGCAAACUGAUCAAAAAAUUGACCGCAGACUGAGGUGGAUGCUUUUUCUUCUCCUUUGCCAGCAUAUAAAUCACAUGGGCAUCACUUGCCCUGCUCCCUUUACAAAACCAAUUGAUAAUCUUACCAAUUUUCUCACUGUCUGGCAGGGNNNNNNNNNNNNUUCUCACAAACUGACCAAGCCCAGUCAAAAAAGGAUCGCCUACUAAGGGCUUCAAUUGUAUAAUAGUAGGUCUCUGAAUCCGGGACACACCCAAAGUCCUCAAACUUGUUGAAAACCUCUAAAGCCGCCUUCCCUUUUCCCAGCUUCGAAAACAAAGCUAUCAACCGAUUAAGCAUCUCCACAUUCAGCACAACAUUAUCCUUCUUAGCAACCUCCAUAAUUAAAUCCCACAAUGCAUAUGCAUCUUUCUUUCUAAGGUCACCACAAAUAGCUCGAACAAGCACAUCAACUACGUCGGUAGUCACAUUGAUAUCUGGCUCCUUAAUCGCCCACUUGAAAAACCUAAUCAAAUUAUCACCCAAAACAAAAGGGGUUUCAAGCACUUUCAUUAAAAACUCCUCGUGUAAAUCCAAACCCAUACUAUCAAGACUUGAUUCUAAGGACCCGUCAGCACUACUCUGUAACAAAGACAACACAUUCUCUAAUUUCUCCAUAUCUAUCUCAUAAACCCCUGCCUCUUCUUUUCCACCCUCACCUUCCUCAACUAAACCCCUAAAAAGCUGAUCAGGCGUGCCAAUGUUAUCACUCACAGAAGCAAAAUUCUCAAUCUGGUAAUCGCCAUUUUCACCUAAAGCCUGUGAAAACUGCUCUGAUAAACCAUCAGCAUCUCCUUCAGAAGCAAAACUCUGGAUUUGGGUAUCACUAUUUUCCCUGAAAAAUGCUGAAGAAUCGUUCGCAGGGCCGAAUUGGUCGACGUUCACGGACGAGUUUGAGAGAAAUCUAAAGUUUGGAUAAGGAAGCAAGGAAACCCUAACCUUGUCGGGGUUUCUGGUUACACCAAAAUUCCGUGCCAACUGUUUGGAUGUAGCAGCUAUGGAUCUCCACAUCUCUCAGCUCUGCGUGUGUAUGAUAGAGUGAGCUCUGUGAAACGUGAGUACCAGAAGGACAAAACCCUAGAAUGG